This 21-nucleotide non-coding RNA is filed under the name Caenorhabditis elegans. The record is from RNAcentral. Lineage: Eukaryota; Metazoa; Nematoda; Chromadorea; Rhabditida; Rhabditidae.
UGGCAGCCACAAAAAUGAUGA